Sander lucioperca (pikeperch) is the source of this 837-nucleotide long non-coding RNA. RefSeq lists it as uncharacterized. The record is from RefSeq and is a predicted model, not a curated record. Lineage: Eukaryota; Metazoa; Chordata; Actinopteri; Perciformes; Percidae. The transcript is spliced from 2 exons.
UGUGUGUGGUCCUGCUGGGCAAAGGUUUUGUGCAGUUAAGCUGUCCCGCACAAUAUUAAAAAAUCAAGGUUUAUCUGUUUUUGUCUGCACACCAGCCUUACACAGUUUUGCCAUGUUGGCAUAGUUGUUUAAAAUGAAUCCAGAAAAUGGUUUAUGUGAGUAUGUGGAGGAAAGCCUGUGCAGGCUUAAUCACAAAAAGUGAAUGUGGGGUGGACCAGGGAAAACCAUUCACUGUGUUGGCACUGAAACAAUAGCUUUUCAGCAAAACACAGUGGCAGCCUUCAUGUUUAUGUUCAGGGCUUUCAGUUUUCUCUAGGUAUAAGAAUAUAUAUAUGUGUGUGAAUGGAGCCCACAGUCAGAUAUUUUAUUUCUGAAUUGAUUCUUUUUAAAACAGAAUCCUUAAUUUCUAACAGGAAAUGGCUGUUUCUGUUCCUGGUUACACUUCUGCUCUGCUUUCCUUGUUGUGUGGAAAGCUGGGAGAUGUCAUUAGCCUCCCAGAAAGGUUCUGUCCAUGAGUGAGGAGGUAAAACCUGGCAUCACAUUAGACGUUAAUGUUUAGAAAACAGAAGAACGCUCCUCUAUGUUACAGAAACGCCUAUACUAGAGCAUUUAAGUGCCUUACUAAUCGUGACCUCUAACCGAGUGAAACAAGAAUAUGAAGAAAUGUGAUAUAUGCACCCUGAAAUGUGAUAAGAUUAACAUCAUGAAUUAAAGUCCUUUUUAAUUGAUUUUUGUACUGUGCUUAACAGUACAAGUCUUUUUUUUUUUUUCUUUUUUUUAUAACAAAAUUAAAUGCUUUUUAUAGAAAUAAUUUUUCAAAUGUUAAACACUACAUAU